This 468-nucleotide ribosomal RNA is filed under the name uncultured bacterium. Its description in RNAcentral is "partial 16S ribosomal RNA". It matches the Rfam family "Bacterial small subunit ribosomal RNA", at positions 28 to 507 of the family's 1533-position model. The record is from RNAcentral.
GACGAACGCUGGCGGCGUGCUUAACACAUGCAAGUCGAACGGAAAGGCCCUGCUUUUGUGGGGUGCUCGAGUGGCGAACGGGUGAGUAACACGUGAGUAACCUGCCCUUGACUGUGGGAUAACUUCAGGAAACUGGGGCUAAUACCGGCUAGGAGCUCCUGCUGCAUGGGGGGGGUUGGAAAGUUUCGGCGGUUGGGGCUGGACUCGCGGCUUAUCAGCUUGUUGGUGGGGUAGUGGCUUACCAAGGCUUUGACGGGUAGCCGGCCUGGGAGCGUGACCGGCCUCAUUGGGCCUGCGAGACGGACCAGACUCCUACGUGAGGCAGCAGUGGGGAAUAUUGCACAAUGGGCGGGAGCCUGAUGCAGCAGCGCCGCGUGCGGGAUGACGGCCUUCGGGUUGUAAAGCGCUUUCGCCUGUGACGAAGCUUGAGUGACGGUAAUGGGUAAAGAAGCACCGGCUAACUACGUG